ACCAACCAGUGAACUUUCAGACGUCAGUGGCAAGCUAACAUGGAGCGAUGGCGCAACAAAGUGGCCGUGGUGAGCGGAGCCAGUGCCGGAAUCGGAGCAGCCUGCACCCGGGCAUUAAUCGGUGCCGGAAUGGUGGUCGUUGGUCUGGCGAGGCGUCACGAACGCGUCGAGUUGCUCCGAAAUGAUCUCAAUCCCGAGGAGAAGACCCGUCUACAUGCAAUCAAGUGCGACAUUACGCAGGAGGAUCAAGUACUGAAGGCCUUUGAGUGGACUCAGAAGCAGUUGGGCGGCGUAAAUGUCCUGGUCAGCAAUGCCGGUAUCAUAGCAACCGGAGAACUAAGUGAGAGGAACGACGGAGAAGCCAUGCGGUCCACCAUUGAGACAAACAUCAUGGGCACCGUCUACUGUGUUCGCGAGUCCUUCCAUUCGAUGAGGAAACGCGGUGCCGAGGGUCAUGUGGUCAUCGUGAACAGUGUGGCGGGUCAGCAGGUGCCCAACUUGGGCCCCCAACUGCCCUCGCUCAACAUUUAUCCGGCCACCAAGUUUGCACUUCGCGCCAUGAACGAGAUAUACCGCCAGGAGUUUCAGCGCCACAAAACUCCAGUGAGAGUUUCGACCGUCAGUCCCGGCAUAGUGGAUACGGACAUCUUGCCGGACCAGAUCCAGGACAUCAUCAAACAGCAUAUGCCUAUGCUGCGGAGUGCUGACGUCGCCGAUGCAGUUCUCUGGGCCAUCGGCACUCCACCAAAUGUUCAGGUGCAUAACAUAACAAUAAAGCCACAAGGAGAAAAGUUUUAAACUUUGUACUAGCAAGGUGCAAUUGGAAAAUACAUAAAUAGAAAUAUAUGUUAUAUUAUUAUUUAUAUUAGGGAAAGUAAUAAUACAGUCUUUACGUUAAUGAGUAGUUUGCGUGUUUAUAAGUGAAGCUUACAGUUACCCCACUUGUACGAUUCCUCCGUAAAGCGAUAUAAAACUUCUUUAAAAGAAAUUGAGAUAGAGUUAUAUCUUAGAGGGCAGCUAUGUAAAAAAAAGUAGUAGUAAAGAGCGGCGACCACUUGUUUUACGACUCGGUUUAAACAGAAAUUUUUAAUUUUAAUUUUAUUUAUAUUGCUGUUGCUUCAUAUGAGUCCCGUUUCUUAUAAUUUGCAUUUAAUCAGUUUUAAGUUGCCUUUGGAAAGAGCCUGUGGAAUUGCUGCGCAAUCCCAGUGCCGGCGAAUUCAUUCCCCAACCUUAGAUCUUAUCCCACUGCAAACACCCUUUUUCAAAGGACUCUCCACUUCGUGUUCGGAGUGGAAUUAAGAGAGCUUCGCUUCGUGUUUCCAAGUUGUGUUUCACUUUUCCAUUUUGUUUCAAAGCCGCUCUACAAUGUUGGCGCCUGCAUCCUGUCGUUUCAGUUGUGUGGAGCCAGUCUCUCUGUAAACAUCGUCCUUUGUUCGUUGUGGCCCCUUUUGUUGUUUUCUCAGGUCCUGCAUCCUUCUUCGCCAUCUGUUGUCGCGUGCAUCUGUUGAUUGUGUUCUUUCCAGAGUCAACGAAUAAAAUAAAUAAACUUGUUCCCUCUUCGAGUUCGAUAAUUACUUUUAUAUUAUGUUUUCUGAAAAGGAUUUAAUUUAAUUUAAUUAUUCUCCACUUAUUAGCAAAUGUUUUUAAUAUAGAUUUUACCAAAAAUAAGCGAAUGGAUGUAUUACACAAAGAUUUACCAUAAGAACAUGUAUUGCAAUUAUACGACUUUUCUUUAAAUAUCUACCAAAAACUAUCUCUACCUUACAUUUAUCCUUUUCUUCAGACCCUGAUCUGAGCCUCUAUCCUCAUCGGUGGGUCACCAUAAAAAAACUCAAUUUAAAUGCACAUAUUACAUUUCGCCCGAGCAGACUACGCGCUUAACAAUGACGGACUCCACUGGAGACCGCGUCACCUCAUUUGAUUUGGUAUGAAAAAUCUCCUUUUAUUAAUAUUCAUGAAAGCUGAAAACUUUUUCGGUUAUUUAUUUAAUGGGAACUGAAAUCCACUGAGUCCAGUGAGGAUGCUCAUGAUUCUGUGGUUAAAGAAGAGGGUUGAGCUGUGUGCAUAAAUUUAACUUAACACGUUUGUAUUUAUGUGUUUUUCGUUGUUUUUAAUAAAUAAUUUAGUGUACACAAAUUCAAAAACAAGUGUGAAAGCCAAUAAAUUAUGUAUUUUAAAAAGCUCCAUUUAUCUAAAACUAAGCUUAAAUAAACGUUUAGCAUCUAAUUUGGAGCUAAUAGCUUAAAUUUCGAAUAUAUUUUGCCAAUUUUCAAAUUAAUUAAGGUAAGUCCCGGCAUCGAUAAGCAAUUAAUGUGUGGAAAGCAGCCAGCCGCUAUGCAAAUGGUCAUAUGUUAAACGCCAGCCACCGAAAUGACAUCGAUGCGAUUUAUAAAUCACGGGUUGUGCGCUUCGGUCGUCGAUGGCAGUACAAGUACUAUUAAAAGCCAUUCCGAUGAACCUUAGUACUCGUAAAUCAUAAAGGAGCGCCUUCUCGGUACCUACCUCGUCCUUUCGCCUGCUUCAUUGUUUUGAAAUAUAUGUCCUGGAGAGACUCUCUGCAAUCGGUAUUGUCUUGGUUUGGUCCACUUCGGUCUUGAGUUGCUUCUGAUUGGAAACAUUCUAAAUAAAUUAAAAGGCGAAAUAGAGACAAAUUUUUCUU
Molecule: RNA transcript, 2659 nt
Organism: Drosophila gunungcola (fruit fly)
Lineage: Eukaryota; Metazoa; Arthropoda; Insecta; Diptera; Drosophilidae
Gene name: farnesol dehydrogenase
Exons: 4
Source: RefSeq, a predicted model, not a curated record